AGCAGCCACGGUAAUUCCAGCUCCAAUAGCGUAUAUUAAAGUUGUUGCAGUUAAAAAGCUCGUAGUUGAAUUUCGGGAUCAAUACGUCGGUCGUGCUUCGGUACGUACUGGCGUCAUUGAUUUCUCCCUUCUGACGAACCAUGAUGUCAUUAACUUGGUGUCAUGGGAAAUCAGGACUGUUACUUUGAAAAAAUUAGAGUGUUUAAAGCAGGCUCACGCUUGAAUACAUUAGCAUGGAAUAAUGAAAUAGGACGUUCGAUCCUAUUUUGUUGGUUUUUAGGAUCAACGUAAUGAUUAAUAGGGAUAGUUGGGGGCAUUAGUAUUCAAUUGUCAGAGGUGAAAUUCCUGGAUUUAUUGAAGACUAACUACUGCGAAAGCAUUUGCCAAGGAUGUUUUCAUUAAUCAAGAACGAAAGUUAGGGGAUCGAAGACGAUCAGAUACCGUCGUAGUCUUAACCAUAAACUAUGCCGACUAGGGAUCGGAUGAUGUUAAUUUUUUAAUGACUCAUUCGGCGCCUUAC
RNAcentral lists this unclassified non-coding RNA (520 nucleotides) under uncultured Glomus. RNAcentral describes it as "SSU rRNA". It matches the Rfam family "Eukaryotic small subunit ribosomal RNA", at positions 569 to 1091 of the family's 1831-position model. Lineage: Eukaryota; Fungi; Glomeromycota; Glomeromycetes; Glomerales; Glomeraceae. The record is from RNAcentral.